GUGCAACUGUACAUUGAAGUUUUUAAAGAAAACCAAACUGACCACUAAAGGUAGUGUUAGUGAUCCCUGUAGAUACACACAAGGACUGCUGUGCACCUGUUAAAAAUGGGUUAUAUGGUACCGACAAGCUGUGCCAGCCUCAGGAACCCAGGCAUCCACUCAUGGCAUUGGUGUUGUUCUCUCUACCUGGCACUCUGUCAUCUGAUUUUCUCACCUGAAGGUUCUGCCUAACUUUCCAUAGAAACCAGUGAGAGCCCUUCAAGGACUACUGUGUCCCAAAGGAGAAACCUUUCCCUCAGAAUUUCUAGAGCUGGAAGAACUUCUAACUCCUGAAUCGUCGUGCCUGGAUGCAUGUGACAGUGCCCAAUGAUGGUAGGAAGCUGGUCCAUGGUAAGAAAUCUACAGCCCAGGACCUCAGGCU
Molecule: long non-coding RNA, 421 nt
Filed under: Cricetulus griseus (Chinese hamster)
Lineage: Eukaryota; Metazoa; Chordata; Mammalia; Rodentia; Cricetidae
Description: lncRNA (ENSCGRG00000024338.1)
Source: RNAcentral